Molecule: ribosomal RNA, 506 nt
Filed under: uncultured bacterium
Lineage: Bacteria
Description: bacterial SSU rRNA
Rfam family: Bacterial small subunit ribosomal RNA
Source: RNAcentral
AGGACGAACGCUGGCGGCGUGCCUAACACAUGCAAGUCGAGCGGGGACAUGCGACGGAUAGGAAGUUUCGGAUGGACUUGAAGAUGCAUCGUUCUAGCGGCGGACGGGUGAGUAACGCGUGAGCAACCUGUCCCUUACAGGGGGAUAACACAGCGAAAGUUGUACUAAUACCGCAUAAGACCACGGGAGGACAUCCUUCAGGGGUCAAAGGAGCAAUCCGGUAAGGGGUGGGCUCGCGUCCGAUUAGAUAGUUGGUGAGGUAACGGCCCACCAAGUCGACGAUCGGUAGCCGACCUGAGAGGGUGAUCGGCCACAUUGGGACUGAGACACGGCCCAAACUCCUACGGGAGGCAGCAGUGGGGAAUAUUGGGCAAUGGGGGGAAACCCUGACCCAGCAACGCCGCGUGAGGGAAGAAGGUUUUCGGAUCGUAAACCUCUGCCCUUGGUGAAGAGGAAGAGACGGUAGCCAAGGAGGAGGCCCCGGCUAACUACGUGCCAGCCGCAGC